GAGCCCAUGCCAUGUUUAAAUGAUAAAGUAGCUUGAUAUAGUGUUUAAGGACGCUCCUCUUUCCGGCUUUUAUCUUUCAUCUCAGCAAGUUCAGUCGUUCCACCCCUGCGUUUUCCAGUUGGUAGAGUCGGAAGAGGUCGACUCCUCCCAGGUUAGCGCAGGGGCUUGCCGGGAGGCCAACUUGCAAGAAGCCCUGGGAACUCUCCAGAAGAGUCAACUGUGAAGAUCCCGGAGUGUACGGGGUGAUUCUUCGCCGAGUGCAGGUGCUGCAGCUGACGUUCGGCGCUUCCUGCUCAGCGCCGAAGUUGCCGCGCUACCUGAUAGGAACAUGCGGUACCUCUCAGAAAUGUGAGACAGAAGAAACGUUGAAGACCUUUGCACUGUGCUCCGGGCCUCCGAGGUUAUAUAUGAUGUGAUUAUUGGCCUGGGGGCCGUGAAAAGGAAUACGUAGAUCCAAGCCUAAGUCCAUAAGCAGUGCUUCGCUUUACGAAAUAGAUGCAUUCUAGCAAAGGUGGUAUAGUUUUAGAGCCGGAACUGAACUCAUCUUUCCCGACUCCCACCCCGCCCUUUCCUUCAGUAAAUGCACCGGCAUUGGCACCGGAGUAAGAUAACGAUAGGACUAAGAGUCUGGAGCCAAAUCUGCUCGCGGAACAGGAGGCCCUUGCCUUCACUGGGUUUAGGGCCUGGAAAGGUUCCCUGUGCGCACGUGGGAAGCCAGGAACAAACUUCCACUCCCCCUUCACCUAACUGUAUUCCAGAAGUUUCCUCUGGAAGCCCUCCGCGGUAAUUUCCCGUUUGGCUAUUUCUCCCGGCGGACAUCAAACUCCUUGAGAGCAAGGACUGUGACCUUUUCUUGUAGCGGAAGCACCCAUCUACUGCCAGGCGCACAAAAGUGUUCUUGGAUGCAGAAGUCUGCCUGCAGUCUGUUAUGUAAAGGAGAGGAUCGCUAGACCAGUGACUUUCAUGCUUCUGUGGCUGUGACCAAUGUCUCAGGACAUUUUCCAGUUGCUUCUGCCACAACAAUCUCUGCCAUCUCAGUGCCUCCGAUGCCCCUUGUGAAUUCAGGAAGCUCUGCAGUGCCAGCAGGACUUCGCAAAAACCGGUUGCUAACUUGUCUUCUUUCUCUUCCAUCUUCAUCUUUAAAGAAAUCUCAAAGCUUGUGGGGCUAAAAGUUUAUUUCAGAGUAUGGCAAAUCUUUCAUGGUAAUAGAAAUGCAAAGAAGAGAGAUGUUGUCUGGAAGAAUAAACCAUCUGACUGGAGAGAAGGUCAAAAGUGGAAAUUAUAUAAGAGAGACCCCAUUGUCAUGGAUGGUUGGCUUACAGUGGGAAAGAAAUCAGAACUACAUGAUGGAUUCACUUGAGGUCAUUGAGAAUGGCUGACCUUGCUCUACUUCAGUCCAUGAAGCUGCCUGCUUGCACGUCAAUUUGCCAUCCAGGAACUAUCAGGAGGCAGAGGUCAUUAGGACAGGUGACUGGAUUUUCUCCAAUUGGUGCCCUCAAAUGUAUGCUAGUAAUAGUAAUAAUCAUCGCAAAUAUACAUAGGUCACAGGGAAAGUUAAUCAAUUAGCCAGUGUCCAUACAUAAUUAUCCAGUUAAGAGACUGGAUCCUGUGUUGAUCCUUCUGUUUUCUACACAAUGCUUCAUCUUCAUGCAUUUAAGUGGUGGCUGCUGUCCAAGUUAAGGAUUUUUGCAAUAUCAAAUGUCUGUAGAUCCUGGUAGAGAGAUUAAUUGUAUGUGGCCAAUGCUAACCUUGAACUUAAAAUAUUUUUAAUGGUAUCAUUUUUUAAAGCACAGUGCUUCUAAGACCUUUAGAGUCAGACAGACCUGGAGUUGAUUCUUGGCUCUACCAUUAGCUAUGGUAUUAUUAACUGUGAGACCAUGGGGGAAAUUAGCAGUACCUAGCCUCCCUGAACCUCGGUUUCCUCAUCUCUAAAACAGGUAUAAUAAUACUCACCUCAUAAUGAGGAUUAAAAUGAGGUAAUGCAUGUAAGACCUAGUAGAUUUCCUGGACGAUAGUUAGCAGUCAAUAAAUUAUUUUUGAAGAAGCUAUAGGCCUUUAUAGUUUAAGACAAUCAUGUGUACGUGAGCAUUUCUGAUUCUAACACUAACCUGAGACAAUUAGGAAAAGUGUGCUAUUGUUUUUCAUGGAAGGGAAACUGAGCACAGGAAGGUGUGGUAAUCUCGGUAGAUAUGUCAUAUAUGUCCAUCAACUACUCAGAUAAGCGUGAAGUAUGCUCUGAAAUGCACAGACACUGAUUCCCAUUCCAGGGCUUUCUCUGCUGCAAUCUGAGAGGCACCAAGAGCUCUGAAUGAGUAGAGUUGAGAACAGAAUGACUAAUUCAUUAUUUUUUUACAAAUAUGAGCCCCUCUGUUGGGACAUACACAUCAGUAAUAGCUAACAGAGCCAGGAAUUACCUUAUUUAAUUCAUACAGCAAGCCUAGGAGGUAAAUAUCACUAUUACCCCCAUUUUACGGCUGAGACUGAGACUUAGAGCUAUUAAAUAACUUUCUUGACAGAUUUAAACUUGAGUCUGUCCAACUCCAGUGUCUGGGUUUUAACCAUAUACAAUUCUGCCUCCUGCCAAUCCCACUUUACAGAACACUGUUUUAAGAAGGGAGUAUUUUGGGACCUAUGAGGCCUAUAUGGUAACCAAUUAACCAUGCUUCAAACUACUGUCCUAGUGGUUCGGGCACCAUGACUCAAAAAUGUCUUUAACUUCUGAAGCAGAGGUUGGGAAUACUGUUGUUCCUUCAUUUGAGGAACAGCAUUGACUCUGAAAAAGGUUUAUAUGGUCAAAUAUUUGAAGGUAAAUUCUUCCUUGGAUCUUCAUAAUAUAUUUUGCAUAACGAAGGCUCUGAGAAAUACUAUGGUUUAAAAAAUGUUUAAUUGUGUUAAACCUGAUUUCUGAACUUAUCUGACCACAGAACCCUUCCUUUUAGUUAGAAUCACUAAGAACCAGUUGAAAGCCAUUUAGGUUUAUUUAAAUAAUAAUCCUGGCCAAAUUUAUGCAGCACUUAGUAGAGCCCAGACACAGAGGCAGAUAUUUUGAGAAUAACCUUUGGAGGGAAAUGUUUUUAUUAAACAGCUUUCCCCACGAUUACCAACUAGUAACUCAAGGUGUCUCUAUGCAGAGCCUGUGCUCUCACAGCUGCCAUGGAAGAGCUGAUUCAGCACGUCAUACUCAACGAUAUGUCAUACCUUUUUCUAAUUUGAAUAUGGACUAAGUGUGCUAUACCAAAUUCCCAUUUUGAUUAAAUUGACCCUCCUACCAAGGGGGGAAAACCUGGCGAAACCACCUCUCUGAAUCAGAUACUCAAUGUAAUCAAAUUGGUCUAUCUGAUAUUAAUAACUACAUUUUCUCCCCAUAGGGCUGUUUAAUUCUUAAAAUACUUGAUCCAGGUAUAGACAUCUACUCAUAUUUUGUGUCAGACACAGGGGUAACAUCCUCUUUUCACCAUAUCUCUUCUCAGGUAAUAAUCGCUUCAGUUUUCCUCCAGAACUAAUGUAUCGAGAUCAGACAGGUAAGAAUUCUCACUUAGAAACUGUCAGGUGAUCACCCAUCUCAAAUAGGAAAGAUGUUCUUUACUCCAGUAAGGAAAAGGCUCCAGCAUUUUCUUUCUUUUCUAUUCCGUGGUUUUCCUUUUUUUACUCUUCUUUCACUUUAUUUGGUUUCAAGUGGAGCAGGGGCCUGUGGAAUGACAAAGUUCGGGACUCCUCACUUAAUGGAAGACCAGCCUAGAAGAAGGCCCAGGAGAAAAGUCAAUGGCCCAAAAGGUGCGGAAAGUCCAGAGGGAGCUUCAAGGACUGCUCUUGCCUUCUUUUUCUUUUGAUCCUUUCUCCCCAUAGAGUGGCUUUUUUUUUUUAAAGCACACUUUUCCAAGUUGUUACAUUAACAAAUUUGCACUGAUUUCUUUAUCCUUGUCAUCUAAAGACCACCUUGUCGGCGGAGGGUGAACUUUUCCUUCAUGCCAGGCCUGCUGCACUGUCUAAUGUCACAAGUGUCUGCUCACAUUAGCUCCCGGAGACUGGAGAAGAUUCCGCAUGGGGCCUUUCCGGCAAGUUGAUUUGACAGAAUGAGUCCCCAUGCUAGCUCAUGGCACUUAUCAGUUAGUCAGUCUUCCUCGGGGAGGAGAAUUUAGAGUGCACCAUAUUCAGUUUCCAAAUCAACUGCUGUCCCCUCAGGAAGCCGAGUGUUGCAUUAUUAAAAGAGAUGCCUUCAACCACGGCACCAUACUUAAACAUUCAUCCACAUUAAAAAAAAAAAAUUGGAGUGGAGGGGCCAACACAACAAUGCCACACACCCUUUGCUGUGUUAACUCUUUCCACCCAGGCUUCAGGUCUCCCUCAAUGAGCAGCCCUGUCACUUUUAUUGGUGAGCGUGAACACUUGUUAUUUUGUGUGUCUUAGCUUUAUUUAAAAAGGAGUGCUUUUGCAUUACUUGGGAUGGCUAUGAAAUAGUCCCCCAAGUUGUAAGAUCUCAGGGCUAAGAUUUACCGUGUUGCUGACCUCUCCUUUUCACUGAGCUCCCACAGCAAAAUUAAAUCCAAAAAUCUAGCUGCCAGAAACAGCGCUGGCUUUGAUUUGUCUGUUACGUGCUUCUCCCAGGAGUUGAAAUGUAAUGCACGAAUUAGUUCUGAGUUGAAAAUUAACAGAUCUGAAGCUCACACUUUAGUAAUUAUAACUUCAGCUAUUUCUAUUUUUUAAAAAAAUAAAAUUUAUGUCCAGAUUACCUUUAUCUUUCCAAACAAAAAAUUGCCAAGAUUUCUAGAGAAAAGGAGGGAUCUUUUUUAAAGCUGCAUGUUGAUAUAAAUAUGAAAAUGGAUUAAACUCUGCUUCCAAUUUCCAAACAUGUGUACUUCAAUGAAUAUUAAAUGGCAGGCCCCUAUCAGCAUCAUGACUUAUUUACUCACCAGAGUUUUUAUCGAAAAGGGCCUAGAAUUGCCUGUGGAGCGUGAAAGUCUCCUGUAAUUGAGUUUAGAGUGGUAAAUCCACUAAACAGGCCACGGCCCCAGAGACACCCCCGAAACCCACCUGUCAGCUGGUGUUAGAUCACAGCUCAAACAAGGCAUGGCUGCCUGCUCCUGCUAAACACUGCCGAGGCCCAAAACAAAAAAAAAGAGAAGUUGUUCCCCAGGGGGUGAAGGAGGGCUGGGGGCAAAUCGUGGGGGUUGGGAGGGCAGGCGAAAAACUCUCAUCUAACAGCUGCCUGAUGUCAGCUGGAAUCAUGAUCUGAAACUCAGCUUGGGAGGGGAACUGGCUAGGGCCUCAUUCGGUAAGGUGUCAUUUCUUUAUUCUAACAUUCUUUAGGUAGGAGCGUAAUGGAGUGGACAAGAAGCUUUUUCAUCAUGGUUGAGCCGUGGAAAUCAAAGCCCCGAGUUUCAGUGAGGAUAAAGAUACAACAGGCUUAAGACGGGUGCAGAAAGGUCCACAUCUAGAAAUAGAGGGGGAUGUCCAACUGAGGCAUGUUGGACCAGCCAGGGAGGGGGGUGGGGACAUUUUAAGCCAAAGAACCAUCAUUCAUCCAGUAAACAUUUAUUAAUUGUUGCCUAGUGCUCAUGACUGUAUGUGUUGCUGAGUGUAGAAAGAUAAAUAAGACAUAGUCCUUGCCCUGAAGGAAUUUAAAAUGUAGUUGGGGAAACAUAAAGAUAAGUCAACUAUUACAAUACAGUGUGUCAAGGGCUGUGAGAGCAAAAUAUAUGCUUAAAACAAUAAGUUAGGAAGGCUUCUUGGAGAAAGUGACGUUUAAGCUGGGUUUUUCAGAAUGAGUAGGAUUUAGUCAGGCAAAGGAGAAGAGUAGGGUGGGUGUGUGGAUGGUGGUAGGAAAGAAAAGCUCUUCCUAUACAGAGGAGAUAUACCAUGAAAAGGGAUUGUGUGGUACUCUUAUAAGGCUCCCAGAGGCUUAAUGUGGCUGGGGCAUAGGUGAUGGGUUAGAGCCUGGGAGGGAUGGCACUAGAGAGGGAGAGAGAGAGAAACCAAAUGAUCAAGGGUUUUGUCAGCCUGGAAAAUCAGUCUGAAGUUUAUCCUGAAAGCCACGGGGAGCAGUGGAAGGAUUUUAAGUAGGGGAGUGAUGUGAUCAGGUUUGCCUUUUAGAAAGACCAGUUUACCUGCUGUGCGUAGCAUAAAUUAGAAAAGGCAAGACUGGAAACAGGAAGGCCAAGCCGGAGGCAGUUAUAGGAGUCUUUGAGACAGAGUGAUGGCCUGAACCAGGGAAGUCGCCGUGAAGAUGGAGAGGAGGAGACAGAAUGAGAAAUAUUAUUGAAAAGAAUGAGCAGGACUUGGAAGGCAAUUGAAAAUGGGAAAAUAAAGAGGAAUUCAGGAUGCCUCCAAGGCUUCUGCCUUGGGUAUAGGGUUGCUAGGUUUAGCAAAUAAAAAUACAUGCGGUAUUUGGAACAUAUUGAUACUAAAAAAGGAUUCCCUGUUUAUCCGAAAUUCAAAUUUAACUGGGAAUCCUGUAUUUAAUCUGGCAAACCUACUUGGGUGUCUGGGUAAACGGUGGGUCAUUUGUCAAGCUGGGGGUUGGAGGAGGCACAGUUGUGGGACAGGAGGCCAAGAAGAUGAUGAGUUUACUUUUAUUUAUAUUGAGUUUGAGGGAUCUGAGGGAUAUAGCUGAUGUCCGAUUAUCCCCCAGUCCUUUUCUGCCCUUUUGUAAGGAUAGUUUUAGCUGACACAUGGCCACUCAGCUAAAGACUUUGCUUCCCAGCUUCCCUUGCAGAAAGUGCCAUGUGAUCAAACUCUAACCAAUGGGAUGUGAGAAGAAGUGAUGUGUAUUUUGCUUUUAAAAGGAUGGGGCAUGAACUCUCCUGACUUUUUUCUCCUUUCCAGUGGCUGAAAGAUAGUUAGGACAGAAGUAGCCACCUUGGGCCCAGAGAUGAAAAGCACAUGUUGAGGCCGGCAGUGCCAUCUAACUUGCCCUGGCCACCUACCUCUGAAUUGUGAUAUGAGAGAGAGAGAAGCUUAGCCUGGGCCAUAACUACAACACAACAUCUGAGAGGAAAUGUUCAGUAAGCGGGUGAACAUACAGGUCUGCGGCUUAGGAGAGAGACUUCAGGCUCUUCGCCACUCCCUGCUUGGAACUGGGCUCCACACCUUCUUUGAGAUACAGGAACAGAGCUGGUCUC
Equus caballus (horse) is the source of this 7118-nucleotide non-coding RNA. NCBI's taxonomy places the organism in Eukaryota, Metazoa, Chordata, Mammalia, Perissodactyla, Equidae. The record is from RefSeq and is a predicted model, not a curated record.